This 20-nucleotide non-coding RNA is filed under the name Mus musculus (house mouse). Lineage: Eukaryota; Metazoa; Chordata; Mammalia; Rodentia; Muridae. The record is from RNAcentral.
UGCAACGCUCUUCAGCCUGC